Long non-coding RNA from Homo sapiens (human), 1397 nucleotides. The record is from Ensembl. Lineage: Eukaryota; Metazoa; Chordata; Mammalia; Primates; Hominidae.
GAGGAAGCACGUGGAGAAGGCGGAGCCGCCCAGGUCCCCCCGGGCGUCGAUGAAUGUGGGGUACCAUUCCUUGAUGAUGUGGUCAUGUUUGUAGUCGGCCUUAUUGUCCUUUAGAUGUUCCACGGUGUUCCGCUCGCUCUUCUCAUAGGCCUCCCGGGGCUUCCGGACAGACACCUUGCAUUCUCGGACCUUGUUGACGAUGAAUUCUUGGAUGAGAAACCUGAUAUCUUCCAUGAGGCAGUCAUCAUAAAGAAGUCUGAAUAUCUUGGUUGAGAGCUAGACUUUGGAAACAGAGAGACCCUGUAUAAUAACAGACUAAGAAGUAAGGAAGACAAGCCCAGCCAGUCCCACAACUAUUUCAUUAAUACCAGGUAAAGCAACAGACCUGCCAGUGAAGCAUCUUGGAUCCUUUAGCUUUAGAAAAUCAGCUCUGUUACAUCUGCCGCCUCCUGUGAGCACAAGGCACAGAAAGUAGACCCUGUAACCCUCAGAGGGCCUGAAGGAAAGCGAUGCUGGUGUGACCUGCCCAAGAGGAUGGUGCCCAAGGCAGAGCAUUCUAGACCCUCAUAGGCAACAGAGCCAGGUAUUGCUAGCUUGUGUCAACUGAUUCUGAUGGUCAAAUAUUUUUAUAAAUACCUUCAGGAGAAUUUCAUAGUGAUCUUAAAAACUACAAAGAAAAAGAGUUCCCACGGAUUUAUAAGAAGGUUCGACUAUGCUUUUCCCGGAUAAAACGUGUCUCUUUCCCUUUCAUUGCCAUCUGCUGGAUGACAAUCCUUUAUUCUGAUACAGUCAUCUUUACAAAUGACUAACCAAAGGUCUGUUUUGAAAGAUCAGCAGAAAUAGGUACUGUGAUUAUAAUUUUAAAAAAUUACAGUGUUUUUUAAAUCAAUGAUCUGUUGUUGCUACUGCCCAAGAACUACUAAUCUUUGAAAAACUUGGGACUACUUAGUUCAAUUGAUAUUUCUGAGAGCUUCCUGUGCCAUAUAGGCAUUUUUUUCUCAUUUACAUCUCACUAUUCAUUUAUUAGAAAUUCACUUUUUUUCCUCUGCAUAAACAUGAAAUACACCUUUCAAUCCAUAUUGUGUAUCUUUUGCUUUUACGAAGGCAGUCGUCAGUGUGAGGAAAGACAGAUAAGCCAGACAGUUAUUUUUCAAAGAAAGAAGUGACAAUCUUUUGUUCUGGAAUGCUAUUUGCAUUUAUGAGAUUUUUUUAUGUGUCUAUCAGACCUAGUUAGCAGUACAGUGCUCAAUGUUUCAGAAUGUGCCUGCAUUUUCCAUCCUUGAUGACCUUUUGACAUGGCCUCUAUGUGAUUUAAAGGAAAGGCUCUCAAUCUCUCCAUCACCCCAGUGGCUGACAUUUAUAAAUAUAUGAAAAUAUAGAAAAGAUAAAAGUGAAAA